Long non-coding RNA from Musa acuminata AAA Group (dessert banana), 2929 nucleotides. RefSeq lists it as uncharacterized. NCBI's taxonomy places the organism in Eukaryota, Viridiplantae, Streptophyta, Magnoliopsida, Zingiberales, Musaceae. The record is from RefSeq and is a predicted model, not a curated record. The transcript has 6 exons.
AGUUAAUUAGUUGUGCGUGUACAUAUGUGAUCGGCUUGCAGGACGAUGCGACGACAAGCUCGACUUUGUUUCAUCUAUUUCCAUAUUCUUUUUGCGUCUUGUAGAGAAGUCGGCCCGUGGGAGGAUGAGCUCGUGGCGUGGCGUCGUGAUAGCAACCCCCUUCCACGAGGAGGAGGAGGAGGUUGAUCCCUUCUAGGUUUAUCGUCUAAGGAUUUUGUCAGAUCCGAUGCGGUGCGGUUACUUCGGGUGGCUUUUUCUGGUAGCAGUGACAGAGGCAUGCAAUGGAAGGUCUCCCUAAGUUACUUAAAGGCAAGGAUUUGCUCUUUUGUUAAUGGCUAUUGUCUAGGGAGAUGUUUUGUACUCACCCAUGGAUGGUCAUCAAGUUCAAAGCAAUGUUUCUGCAGAGGGUGACUCAGUUGUGCAAGUAGAACACGAGGAACUGAGACAAAAUGUAAUUUUCACGACAAUUUCUCUCUCAUUCAUCAAUUGCCAAAUUACUAUGAGCUCAGAAGGUAAAAGGGAAGAGCUCAUGCCUUCACUGCCUCCGUAGCUACCAAAAGGCCUGUGUCAGCCUCAGGAGCCGCUGCACCCCUGAAGAGCAAGAUUGCUAGGCUUCCUAUGUUGAAGUAGAUGAAACAACCACAAUGGUGGGUGACAAAGGAACCAAAAUCUGUUCCCACAAUGCAUUGCCACCCUGGACCAUAUGACCUGUCAAACUCCUGCAGUUUUACAAAUUCCAUUGUAAGAGGAAGAGGAAACAAGACAAUGAAUGGAUGAGUCUUUGUUAGUUAGCCAAGAUACUCGAAAUUACCUUCUUGAUGAAACAGGCUAUCUCAGUGGAGUCUGUGACAUCAAAUUCAUCCAGUGCCUUCCCAGCCAAACGGAGAGCAUCCUGCUGCAUGGUUUGCAGCAUAUCGGUCUCUCCGAUGAUUGCCUGGCUUUCCAGCAUAGUUGCGUGUUUGCUCUGUUAGGUUUUUCAGGGAGAAGGAUUGUUAGUUGUGGGGGAAGGAGAAGCGGUGGUCUCAAUUAUAUCAUACUGGGAUAUGGAGGUAACAUUCAUGGGUGCUGGUGGACGGGCCACGUCUGUUGAAGAUGGAUCUUGUGGCCAGUAGUUGACAUUCCGGAAUAUACCAAUCAGCCCUUUGUAAAAAUGAAGAUAUAUGAGGCCUUGGCGGCAGGGAUCUAAAAUAUUCUUUAGACAAUGGCCAUUGGAUUUGUUCUGCCAGAUUAUGCAUGGAGGUCCCUGGCCGACUCUUCUUCUGAUGAUUUUGUCUCUUUGUUUGCAGCAGUCCCUUCGUUCAUUCAGUAUUUCUAUGGUAUGAUAGAAGCAGUGGUGAUGUGUGGGUGAUGUCAGACAAUGGAUUUUCCAAGGAAGGAUGCCAGUCUGAACAUAUGCUUCGAAGGUAUGGGGUCUAGAAAUUUAGUACAAGCUUCUGCUUCAUAGAUUUAACUUGUGGCUAGAACUGUCUUAAAGGGGGACCUCUGGAAUAGUAUCUAUAGAUUAAGAGUGGUGAUGCUGGAAAUCCGUGGAAGCAGGAAGCCCACUAUUUUUGCUCACUUUUCCAGUGGCUUGAAAUGACAUGCAACUGGUUUGAUUCUUCUAUUCCUUUGAUUUCUCUCUCUCUCUCUCUCUCUCUCUCUCAAGAAUGCUCGUGUUACUUUGUUGGUGUCCUGCACAUCUGAUAUUUGUGGGCAUACUUUAUAAUAUUCAUCAAUUUUGUCCCCCAUAUUUCCUGCAAAAUGGCAACUGAUGAGCAGGUGGAGAAGACUGCAGCGCAUUCAGAGCUGAUCGACGAUAUAUUGCAGGCUACAAAAGUGACUGCAGCUGAGACAGGUGUUGGCCGACGAGCAUAGUAGCCACGAGUCCCUUCCUCAGUAGUGUGAUCUUGAUGUGAUCGUCUCCGAGUUGGGAAGCGAAUCAUGUGGUGGAUCCUGGUGAGAUGCUCACCAACUAUUUGAUUCAAUGCUUCCAUGAGCCAGCGGUAGAAGCCAAAGAAACGACGCCCAUCCGAGCUCGACUGCAGGCCACAGCUGUGCUUUUCUAUCGCAUGAGGACUCGACGCCGACUUGCGUGUUUGUUGCUCUCCCAUGUAUACAAGUCAAGCUGUAUCUUCGGUGGAUCAAUGUGAUCUCCCUCGGCUUGCUUGGAAUUUGUAGGCGACAGUGCAUCUGCUGCCGAUGUCCCAAAUUGACCGCAAUGUGGGUUGACUUCAUGCGGCCGGUGGUACUCGGCUGGCAAUCCAAUGGAUGGACUUGGCGCCUCCCCAUCAAGAACUAUCUAUCAUCUGAUAGCACCUAUCUUUACUGUCUUAAAAUCCAGUGAAUAUUUAGUUUUGAUCGGAGAACUGAUGGUCCUCAUCUCUCACGCAAUAAGCAGUUAAUAGAUUCAAAUACUCGGCUACUAAUCUUGGUGCGAUCAAUUGUCAACAGGCGUUCAUGGAUUCCCCAGAAUGUUUCAGUGCAUCCGAGAGAGAUUGCUUGUUACAAGACUUAAGAUGGCACAAGUGUGGGAUGGAGGAAAGAAAAAUCCAACCAAACCACCCGGUUUCUCCGGGCAUGGGAACACAAAGAAUCCGCAGUCAAAAAAGAUAGAAGCCACAAGGGGGUUUCAUUCCAUGAACAGAGUCCCCUGGUCUCGUAACAUGUCCAUGUUGGAAUAAUGCCAGAGCUUCCGCUGAUUGACUUCUUGACUUGUAUCGUAGUUAUUACGUGUCUUUUGAUAGGAAGAUGAUAUGUCUGCUGUUUCCCUGUUCUAUGGCGUCUCACCUGUCCAUAUAUGACAUGGUAGACUUUGGUGGCGAGCCUCCAAAGAGUCAAGCAUCUCAUUCCGAUCCGCUUUCUUUCGUAUAUAAUUGGUGUCUUGAAAGCUACGUGAUGAGUAGGAUAUGUAUCCCUCUCGAGUUAGUAGUAAUAUAAAACGUUGGAUGGA